UUGGUCAUUUAGAGGAAGUAAAAGUCGUAACAAGGUCUCCGUUGGUGAACCAGCGGAGGGAUCAUUACCGAGUUUACAACUCCCAAACCCCUGUGAACAUACCUAUACGUUGCCUCGGCGGAUCAGCCCGCGCCCUGUAAAACGGGACGGCCCGCCCGAGGACCCUAAACUCUGUUUUUAGUGGAACUUCUGAGUAAAACAAACAAAUAAAUCAAAACUUUCAAUAACGGAUCUCUUGGUUCUGGCAUCGAUGAAGAACGCAGCAAAAUGCGAUAAGUAAUGUGAAUUGCAGAAUUCAGUGAAUCAUCGAAUCUUUGAACGCACAUUGCGCCCGCCAGUAUUCUGGCGGGCAUGCCUGUUCGAGCGUCAUUUGUACCCUCAAGCUUUGCUUGGUGUUGGGCGUCUUGUCUCUAGCUUUGCUGGAGACUCGCCUUAAAGUAAUUGGCAGCCGGCCUACUGGUUUCGGAGCGCAGCACAAGUCGCACUCUCUAUCAGCAAAGGUCUAGCAUCCAUUAAGCCUUUUUUUCAACUUUUGACCUCGGAUCAGGUAGGGAUACCCGCUGAACUUAAGCAUAUCAAUAAG
Molecule: ribosomal RNA, 583 nt
Filed under: uncultured fungus
Lineage: Eukaryota; Fungi
Description: eukaryotic LSU rRNA
Rfam family: 5.8S ribosomal RNA (bases 216-369)
Source: RNAcentral